AGUGAACGCUGGCGGUAGGCCUAACACAUGCAAGUCGAACGGCAGCACAGUAAGAGCUUGCUCUUACGGGUGGCGAGUGGCGGACGGGUGAGGAAUACAUCGGAAUCUACUUUUUCGUGGGGGAUAACGUAGGGAAACUUACGCUAAUACCGCAUACGACCUGCGGGUGAAAGCAGGGGAUCUUCGGACCUUGCGCGAUUGAAUGAGCCGAUGUCGGAUUAGCUAGUUGGCGGGGUAAAGGCCCACCAAGGCGACGAUCCGUAGCUGGUCUGAGAGGAUGAUCAGCCACACUGGAACUGUGACACGGUCCAGACUCCUACGGGAGGCAGCAGUGGGGAAUAUUGGACAAUGGGCGCAAGCCUGAUCCAGCCAUACCGCGUGGGUGAAGAAGGCCUUCGGGUUGUAAAGCCCUUUUGUUGGGAAAGAAAAGCAGCAGGUUAAUACCCCGCUGUUCUGACGGUACCCAAAGAAUAAGCACCGGCUAACUUCGUG
This 492-nucleotide ribosomal RNA is filed under the name uncultured bacterium. RNAcentral describes it as "partial 16S ribosomal RNA". It matches the Rfam family "Bacterial small subunit ribosomal RNA", at positions 29 to 507 of the family's 1533-position model. The record is from RNAcentral.